Molecule: ribosomal RNA, 454 nt
Filed under: uncultured Leptolinea sp.
Lineage: Bacteria; Bacillati; Chloroflexota; Anaerolineae; Anaerolineales; Anaerolineaceae
Description: bacterial SSU rRNA
Rfam family: Bacterial small subunit ribosomal RNA
Source: RNAcentral
ACGGGCCCGCACAAGCAGCGGAGCGUGUGGUUUAAUUCGAUGUUACACGAAGAACCUUACCAGGGUUUGACAUGCAAGUGGUAGGAAUCCGAAAGGUGACCGACCCUUCGGGGAGCUUGCACAGGUGCUGCAUGGCUGUCGUCAGCUCGUGUCGUGAGAUGUUCGGUUAAGUCCGCUAACGAGCGCAACCCUCGUCGUGUGUUAUACGUGUCACACGAUACUGCCGGUAUCAAGCCGGAGGAAGGUGGGGAUGAUGUCAAGUCAGCAUGGCCUUUAUAUCCUGGGCUACACACACGCUACAAUGGCAGAUACAAUAGGUUGCGAAACCGCGAGGUGGAGCCAAUCCUCAAAGUCUGUCUCAGUUCAGAUUGUAGGCUGCAACUCGCCUGCAUGAAGUUGGAGUUGCUAGUAAACGCAGGUCAGCUAUACUGCGUUGAAUACGUUCCCGGGGUUU